This 466-nucleotide ribosomal RNA is filed under the name uncultured bacterium. Its description in RNAcentral is "bacterial SSU rRNA". It matches the Rfam family "Bacterial small subunit ribosomal RNA", at positions 28 to 388 of the family's 1533-position model. The record is from RNAcentral.
GAUGAACGCUGGCGGCGUGCCUUAAGCAUGCAAGUCGAACGGAGAUUGUGUGUAGCACUAAGUGUGUUAUUUCAAUGUCUUGUCAAUUUGUAUGCGCUAGAAGGUACGAAAUCAGUUUAAACAUUUUUUGGCGUAUAACGAGUGAUAAGACAACGAUUUAAUAUAUUUGUGCUACGCACGAAAUCAGUGGCGGACGAGUGAGUACAAGCAAGGAACGUACCCUAAAGUAUCGGCAUAGCUCGUCGAAAGACGGGGUAAUACGGUAUGUGGACGCAAGUCUAAAGGAGCAAUCCGCUUUUGGAGCGGCCUUGUACCUAUCAGCUAGUUGGUGAGGUAAAAGCUUACCAAGGCUACGACGGGUAGGGGGUGUGAGAGCAUGACCCCCCACGAUGGCACUGAGAUACGGGCCAUACACCUACGGGUGGCAGCAACCUGGGAAUCGUUGACAAUGGGCGAAAGCCUGAUC